AACGAACGCUGGCGGCAGGCCUAACACAUGCAAGUCGAACGCCCCGCAAGGGGAGUGGCAGACGGGUGAGUAACGCGUGGGAACGUGCCCUUCGGUUCGGAAUAACUCAGGGAAACUUGAGCUAAUACCGGAUACGUCCGUAAGGAGAAAGAUUUAUCGCCGAAGGAUCGGCCCGCGUUGGAUUAGCUAGUUGGCGGGGUAAAAGCCCACCAAGGCGACGAUCCAUAGCUGGUCUGAGAGGACGAUCAGCCACACUGGGACUGAGACACGGCCCAGACUCCUACGGGAGGCAGCAGUGGGGAAUAUUGGACAAUGGGCGAAAGCCUGAUCCAGCCAUGCCGCGUGAGUGAUGAAGGCCCUAGGGUUGUAAAGCUCUUUCGCCAGGGACGAUAAUGACGGUACCUGGAUAAGAAGCCCGGCUAACUUCGUGCCAGCAGCCGCGGUAAUACGAAGGGGGCUAGCGUUGUUCGGAAUCACUGGGCGUAAAGCGCUUGUAGGCGGACUGUUAAGUCGGGGGUGAA
RNAcentral lists this ribosomal RNA (521 nucleotides) under uncultured bacterium. RNAcentral's name for it is "bacterial SSU rRNA". It matches the Rfam family "Bacterial small subunit ribosomal RNA", at positions 28 to 598 of the family's 1533-position model. The record is from RNAcentral.